This 348-nucleotide long non-coding RNA is filed under the name Vigna radiata. RNAcentral describes it as "long non-coding RNA (VRAD_LNC004541)". Lineage: Eukaryota; Viridiplantae; Streptophyta; Magnoliopsida; Fabales; Fabaceae. The record is from RNAcentral.
AUUAUUUUAAAACGUAUAAAAAUCACUUUUCUAGAGUUCUUUACCUUCUCUCUAAGAGUUCUCUAUUUUUUCUCUAAAAGUUCUGAUUCUUGAGUCAUCUCUUUGACGAACAACAACCAUUUAAUCGAUCACGGCGACAAAGCCUAUAUUUUUAGCAGAUCACUUUUUGUCAUAAAGCAAGUAAGUUUCUACCCCUAUUUCUGUUCUAUUUCAACCUGUGAUUCUAUCUAAGAAUCCUCCUUUGUAUGUAGCCUUUUUGUUUUCCCUUUUAUUCUUAGUUAAAUUAAGGUCCUAAGGACUCUGUUCGAUCAUCCUUCGAUGUUUCAUAGGUUUUUCUAGAGUUUCUUU